AUGUAUAUAAAGAAGGUUAUAAUCGAAGGGUUUAAAAGCUACAGGGAGGAGACCUCGACAGAACCUUUCAGCCCCAAAGUUAACGUAGUCGUUGGUGCAAAUGGAUCUGGCAAAUCAAAUUUUUUCCAUGCUAUACGCUUUGUCCUGAGUGACAUGUUUCAGAACCUGCGCAGUGAGGACAGGGGAGCUCUUCUCCAUGAAGGUGCUGGACACUCAGUUGUAUCUGCUUUUGUCGAGAUAAUUUUUGAUAAUUCAGACAACCGUAUUCCAGUUGAUAAAGAAGAGGUACGCUUGCGAAGGACAGUUGCUUCAAAGAAGGAUGAAUAUUACUUGGAUGGAAAACAUGUCAGUAAAACUGAAGUCAUGAAUCUGCUGGAGAGCGCUGGUUUCUCUCGAUCUAAUCCAUACUAUGUUGUCCAGCAAGGAAAGAUUGCAUCCCUUACUCUAAUGAAAGAUUCUGAACGACUGGAUCUUCUCAAAGAGAUUGGUGGUACUCGUGUUUAUGAAGAUAGGCGUCGGGAGAGCUUGAAAAUAAUGCAAGAAACAGCCAAUAAAAGGAAGCAGAUUGAUCAAGUUGUCCACUACCUGGAGGAGAGACUGAGGGAACUUGAUGAAGAGAAGGAGGAACUAAAGAAGUACCAGCAGCUGGACAAACAGAGAAGAUCACUUGAAUAUACUAUAUUGGACCAUGAACUAAAUGAUGCUAGAAAUGAAUUAGCUUCGAUGGAUGAUAAUCGAAGACAAAUUUCUGAAAGGAUGUCUCAAGCGGACAAUGAAGUGGUAGAGUUACGUGAGAGGGUCAAAAGUUUGGAGAAAGAAAUAAAAGCCUCUACUAAAGGGAUAAACGAAACCAAGUCUGAAAAGGAAGAUGCAGAGAAGAAGCGUACUGGAGCACUAAAGGUAGUUUCUCAGAUUGAACUUGAUCUGAGAGAUUUAAAAGACAGAAUUUCAAGUGAAAAACGAGCAAAGGAUGAAGCCGUAAGGGAGUUAAAUAGUAUGAGGAAAGAAAGUGAAAAGUCAAAGUCUGAAUUGGCUCAAAUUAGUAAGGUGCAUGCGGCCAAAUUGAAGGAAGAGGAAGAUAUAUCAAAAAGUAUAAUGGACCGCGAGAAGCGGCUGAGUAUAUUGUACCAAAAGCAGGGGAGGGCAACUCAAUUUAAGAAUGAGGCUGCCAGAGAUGAGUGGCUUCGGAAAGAAAUUCAUGAUCUUGAGCGUGUACUUUUAUCAAAUAGAAAGCAGGAAAGCUUACUUCAAGAAGAAAGUCAGAAGCUUAAAGACGAAAUUAAUAAGUUGACAAACCACAUUGAAUCUCGGAGAAGUGAAUCAAGCAAGUUAGAGGCUGUUCUUGCAGACAAGCAAAAGCAUCACAAUGACUUCACGAAGCAGAAAAAUGCACUUCAAGAUGAAAGGAAAUCAUUUUGGAAGGAGGAAAAUAGUGUGACAGCUGAAAUCGAUAGGCUAAAGGAAGAUCUUGUGAAGGCACAGAAGAGUUUGGACCAUGCAACACCUGGGGAUAUCAGGAGAGGCCUGAAUUCUGUUAGCAGAAUCAUCAGGGACCAUGGUAUUGGAGGAGUUUUUGGUCCAGUGUUAGAACUGGUUGACUGCGAAGAGAAGUUUUUUACAGCUGUUGAGGUCACUGCUGGGAAUAGCUUGUUCCAUGUGGUGGUUGAAAAUGACGAUAUAUCGACAAAGAUAAUUCAGGUAUUGACUCGAGAAAAAGGUGGACGGGUGACUUUCAUACCACUGAAUAGAGUGCACGCUCCGAACGUCAAUGUUCCACAGAGCUCUGAUUUUGUUCCACUGUUAAAGAAGUUAAAGUUUCGUGCUGAGCAUCGUCGUGCUUUUGAACAGGUUUUUGGUAGGACAGUUAUAUGCCGAGACCUGGAAACUGCGACCAGAGUUGCACGCAGCAAUAGUCUAGAUUGCAUCACACUUGAUGGUGAUCAAGUAGCGAAAAAGGGUGGCAUGACAGGAGGUUUCUAUGAUUCUAGACGCUCAAGACUGAAGUUUGUAAAAGUAAUCAGGGACAACAAAGCAGAAAUUGAAAAAAAGACGGCACAUCUAGAGAACGUGGGGAAAAAGUUAAAAGAUAUAGAUAAGAAAAUUACGGAUUUGAUUACCAAACAUCAGCAAAUGGACGCUGAACGUGAUCAUGCCAAGUCGGAGUUGGAACAGUUUAAAGCUGAUAUUGCCAGUGCAACGAAGCAAAAGGGAUCACUGGAGAAAGCCCUUGCAAAGAAGGAAAAAUCACUCGCGAACAUCCGCAACCAAAUUGAGCAAAUCCAAUCUGGCAUUGCAAUGAAAAAUGAUGAGAUGGGCACAGAACUGAUUGACCAGCUAACUUUAGAAGAAAGAGAUCUCCUUUCGCGACUGAAUCCUGAAAUUACAAAAUUGAAGGAGAAGUUCCUCUCAUGUAAAAACAGUCGCAUUGAGAUUGAAACAAGAAAGGAAGAACUGGAGAACAAUUUGUCAACUAAUCUUAUGAGGCGUCAGAAAGAGUUGGAAGCAAUAAUUUCAUCUGCAGAUUCUAAAACCUUGCCUGUUGAAGUCGAAGCAAAAGAGCAAGAAUUGAAAGAGUCUAAGAGGACUCUUGAUGAGGCGACGACAGUACUGAAAGCUAAUGUCGAUGCUAUUAAUGCCCAUACAAGACAGAUGGAGCAACUGAAAAAACAAAGGGAUGAUCUGAAGGCUCUUGAAGCUAAUUUGGAGCAGACGGUGCAAGAUGGUGCGAAAGACUUGGAACAGUUGAUGAGCAGUAGGAGCACGUAUCUUGUCAAGCAAGAUGAGUGUAUGAAGAAAAUCCGAGAUCUGGGCUCAUUGCCUGCUGAUGCUUUCGAAACGUACAAGAGAAAAAACAAGAAGCAGCUACAGAAGCUGCUCUAUGACUGCAAUGAGCAGUUGAAGCAAUUUAGUCAUGUCAACCAAAAGGCUCUUGACCAAUAUGUGAACUUCACUGAACAGCGUGAACAACUGCAGAGAAGACGGGCUGAACUUGAUGCUGGUGACGAGAAAAUUAGAGAGUUGAUAUCAGUUUUAGACCAAAGGAAGGAUGAAUCAAUUGAACGCACAUUUAAAGGAGUUGCAAGGCACUUCCGCGAAGUGUUCUCUGAAUUAGUGCAAGGUGGUCACGGAUACUUGGUUAUGAUGAAGAAAAAGGAUGGUGAUGCUGGCGAUGAUGACAUGGAUGAGGACGUGCCUCGUGAAGCAGAUCCUGAAGGGAGGAUAGAGAAGUAUAUUGGUGUGAAAGUCAAGGUUUCCUUCACUGGCAAGGGAGAAACUCAGUCCAUGAAGCAGUUGUCUGGAGGGCAGAAGACAGUGGUGGCAUUAACACUGAUCUUUGCUAUCCAACGAUGUGAUCCAGCUCCGUUCUACCUGUUUGAUGAGAUUGAUGCUGCUCUGGAUCCUCAGUACAGAACGGCUGUCGGGAGUGUGGUCCGGCGUCUGGCUGACCUGGCGGACACCCAGUUCAUAGCCACCACAUUCAGGCCGGAGAUCCUGAAGGUGGCGGACAAGAUCUACGGCGUGACACACAAGAACAGGGUGAGCUUCAUCAACGUGGUGUCCAAGGAGCAGGCCAUGGACUUCAUUGAGCACGACCAGACGGCCAACGCCAGCUGA
This 3615-nucleotide ribosomal RNA is filed under the name Triticum aestivum (bread wheat). RNAcentral describes it as "partial small subunit ribosomal RNA". The record is from RNAcentral. Lineage: Eukaryota; Viridiplantae; Streptophyta; Magnoliopsida; Poales; Poaceae.